This 1540-nucleotide long non-coding RNA is filed under the name Astyanax mexicanus (Mexican tetra). RNAcentral's name for it is "lncRNA (ENSAMXG00005002407.1)". Lineage: Eukaryota; Metazoa; Chordata; Actinopteri; Characiformes; Acestrorhamphidae. The record is from RNAcentral.
AUUUCUGCCUUGUUUUAGCAUAAACAUUGUAAACGAGUAGUUACUAUUUUGUAUGACGCACUUUUACUGUGAUUACACUUUAAUGACAGCAAGGAAAUUAAAGUUAAUUGUCAUGUCUGGUGCUGAAAGCGCUCCUAUGUCUCCCACACCCAGCUCUAUCUGCGAUUUCUAAGAUUCCAACUACAAUACCCAGAACGCACCACACCAUGACAUCACGCUCACUCCCGAUCACAUGACACAUCACAUGACGCCACCAGGAAGCCCCGAGUACUGAUUAUCCACAGUAUUUAAGGACCAUGCUCACGCUCACACCUGGCCGAGUAUCUGUUUGGUUUAUCAUUAAUCAUUAAAUUGUAUUUACUAAGCAAAUAUUUACUAACAUUCCUUUAUAAUUAAGCUACUUUAUCAUGUUAUUAUACUUUAUAUUAGGUAGUUUUAUUUUAUGUUUUAAUGCCUUUAUUUAAUAUUUCCCCUAGAACAAUCACAUUCAAAACAUUUGGAAAUGAGCAGGAAAUUGAAGAUUUCUUUAGAAGAUAUUUCCAAGCAGAUUCAGUUGAUUCAGAGCUCAUCAAGACAGCAUAGAAAAUGUGAAUCUCCACUGAAAGAUCAUGGCUUUUGGGCAGGGCUGUGCACAGUCCUAGGAGUACCCAAUACAUCAACAAAUAGGUACAGACUAAGAAGAGAACACUUCAGCCACUGUAAGGAUUCAGUUACAGGAGAAGCUGUGAAGAAUGUGAGAGAUGUGCAGGAGGUAAAAGAUGCGCAAAAGGUGGAAGACAUCCAGGAAGAGGAGGAUGUGCAGCAGAAUACUGAUAUGCAGGAGGUGGAAGAUGUACAUGUGGUAAAAGAUGUGCCAGAGAAAGAAAAUGUGGAGAAAGUGGUACAUGUACAGAAGGGAAAAGGCAGAUGGAAGAUGAUAAUGUACAGGAGGUGGAAGACAUCCAAGUGGGGAAAGAUGGGCAGGAGAAGGAGGAUGUGCAGGAGGAGGAGGAUGGGCAGGAGGAGGAUGUCAGUGAUGACAGUAAGCAGGAAUUCUUUACCCAGCAUCUUCCAUUACCUCCAACAUUCUUUUUCAUUCCACAUUCAGCUUGGAGAAAUCUACGAAAAAAUCAAAGAAAGAAUCACUUUAAGGGAUUGCAAUGGACAAAUAUUUUUGCAAAAGGCAUUCAAUCUGUACACCCAUGUUGCAGUUUUGCACUACUAGGCCACAGAGUUAAAGUCAUUGGAUCAAAAAGGAACGCACCCCUUUUUAAAUGCUCGGGGUAUUGUACAUUCAGUGACUGCCCAGUUGAAGUAGAUGUUGUUGUGUACAGUGAAGCUACACCUAAAGCACAUGUGUUCUUCAGAGGGGAAAUAGUGGUGCACAGCAAAACUCAUGCAGCUUUGCCAACAAGCUGUCGGCGCUCAGAGGGAGCAAAAUUGGCCUUGCUCCCUCCAGGUGGGUAGACGGGGCUCUCUUCCCACAUCACUCCUAGGGUGAUAUCUGCAGCACAGGGCGUCUGUGAGCUGAUGUAUCAGAACCGAGUCGUUGCGCUUUCCU